UCUUGCGCAAUGGUCGAAAGACUGACGCAGCGACGCCGCGUGCGGGAGGAAGCCCUUCGGGGUGUAAACCGCUGUUACUCGGGACGAACUUCUCGAUUCCUCGAGAUUGACGGUACCGGGGGAGGACGCACCGGCUAACUACGUGCCAGCAGCCGCGGUAAAACGUAGGAGGCAAGCGUUAUCCGGAUUCACUGGGCGUAAAGCGCGUGCAGGUGGCGCGGUAAGUUGGACGUGAAAUCUCCCGGCUCAACUGGGAGAGGUCGUUCAAUACUACCGUGCUUGAGAGCAGAAGAGGAAGAUGGAAUUCCCGGUGUAGUGGUGAAAUGCGUAGAUAUCGGGAGGAACACCAGUGGCGAAGGCGAUCUUCUGGUCUGUUUCUGACACUCAGACGCGACAGCUAGGGUAGUAAAC
RNAcentral lists this ribosomal RNA (411 nucleotides) under uncultured bacterium. RNAcentral's name for it is "bacterial SSU rRNA". It matches the Rfam family "Bacterial small subunit ribosomal RNA", at positions 362 to 773 of the family's 1533-position model. The record is from RNAcentral.